GCCGGGCUAGCUCAGCCGGUUAGAGCGCCAGACCUUCAACCAGAAGUCGGGGGUUCGAAGCCCCCGCCCGGCA
RNAcentral lists this transfer RNA (73 nucleotides) under Candidatus Bathyarchaeota archaeon. Its description in RNAcentral is "tRNA-Glu". It matches the Rfam family "tRNA". Rfam says of the family: Transfer RNA (tRNA) molecules are approximately 80 nucleotides in length. Their secondary structure includes four short double-helical elements and three loops (D, anti-codon, and T loops). Further hydrogen bonds mediate the characteristic L-shaped molecular structure. tRNAs have two regions of fundamental functional importance: the anti-codon, which is responsible for specific mRNA codon recognition, and the 3' end, to which the tRNAs corresponding amino acid is attached (by aminoacyl-tRNA synthetases). tRNAs cope with the degeneracy of the genetic code in two manners: having more than one tRNA (with a specific anti-codon) for a particular amino acid; and 'wobble' base-pairing, i.e. permitting non-standard base-pairing at the 3rd anti-codon position. Lineage: Archaea; Thermoproteati; Candidatus Bathyarchaeota. The record is from RNAcentral.